GAUGAAGAACGUAGCGAAAUGCGAUAAGUAAUGUGAAUUGCAGAAUUCAGUGAAUCAUCGAAUCUUUGAACGCACAUUGCGCCCGCCAGUAUUCUGGCGGGCAUGCCUGUUCGAGCGUCAUUUCAACCCUCAGGCCCCCAGUGCCUGGUGUUGGGGAUCGGCCCAGCCUUCCUGUAAGGCCGCCGGCCCCGAAAUCUAGUGGCGGUCUCGCUGUAGUCCUCCUCUGCGUAGCAGCACAACCUCGCAGUUGGAACGCGGCGGUGGCCAUGCCGUUAAACACCCCACUUCUGAAAGUUGACCUCGGAUCAGGUAGGAAUACCCGCUGAACUUAAGCAUAUCAAUAAGCGGAGGA
This 352-nucleotide unclassified non-coding RNA is filed under the name soil metagenome. Its description in RNAcentral is "partial contains 5.8S ribosomal RNA, internal transcribed spacer 2, and large subunit ribosomal RNA". The stretch from base 1 to 120 matches the Rfam family "5.8S ribosomal RNA", at positions 35 to 154 of the family's 154-position model. The record is from RNAcentral.